UGUAAGCGUUAGCUGCCCUCUCUCCUUGCUCAGCGCUGUGCAAAAAUAAAGUUCCUACUUUCUUCCACCACCCCCGGUGUCAGAGAUUGUCUUGCUGCGCAACGGGAUGGCUGCCAUAGUUCCAGUCAUCACAUCAUCACAUAAAGCAGGAAGAAGGGAGAAAAGACAAAGAGCCAUAGCUGCUGCAUCUUUUUCCUUUUAUCAUGACAGCAAGAGAUUUUCCAGAAACACCCUUCAGCUGACUUCUGCUUAGUUUUCAUUGGCCAGAAAAAAAGUCACAUGGCCAUCACUGGCUUCAAAGGAAUCUAAAAAGUAAGGAACAGAAUUGUCAUAUUUGGCCUAGAUCACCUUGUCAUGAUCACCUUGGAAACGCUACUACAGAUGCCUCAGAUAAAAUCUAUUAUCUAUUAGCGAGAAAGAAGAAGGGAGACUGUACAUUGGGUAGUCAACUUAUGGUAUCCGUCACUUCAUCCUAAACGCUAGCCAUGAAGAGCACUUUUAUUUCCCAACAUAUUCCAAGCUCUUUCAUGCAUCCAGUUCUUUGUAUCUGCUGCCUGGAAUCACCUUGCUCUCUGUCUUCACCUAACAAACUCCUUCUUAGCCUUCAGAACUCAGGGCAAUUUCACCACAAUAAAAAUAUAUAUUAAAGAAAAAACUUGGGGCAGACAUCACCUCCUUUGGAAUGCCCUUCCUUCCUCCCUUCCUCCCUCUCUCCUUGGUGUGGAUGAAAUAUCCCUCAUCAGGAACACCUGAACUCCCCACAAAUCACGCCUAAUGGAUUGUCCGUGAUGCUAAAAGCCAGCUACUUCCUUUUGUCCUCACAGAGUGGUAACCAAAUCAAUAGACGUGUCUCAAUGCCUUUGCUUUUCCUGAUUCUAACCCCUGCCUUAUGCCCAGUUGCAUUUCUGCCAUUUGGUUCUCAAAGACACCACCAAAUCCUUACCAUUCUUAUAAUAAACUUCCUUUUCUGCCUAUGCCAGCUCAGGCUGGUUUGUUACUCAAAUCUGGGAGUCGUGAUUCACCCGUGAUCCCUCGCUCACGGGCAUCCCGGCAUUACCUACAGGGGCAGAGACAGUUAGAGCUCACCACCAAUCUCUGAGCUCCCCUAGGUUUCCUGGCUUCCACAGAAGUUAGCGUGGGGGUGACCAUGUGACCAGUUCUAGCCAACGGACUAUGAGCGGAAGUGACGUGUGUUACUUCUGGACCAACGCGGUUAAGAGCCAAUGUACCUCCUCCAUCUGUCUUGACCCCACUGUGACAACAACAUGUCCCCUGUGGUGUGGCUAUAAGAAGGAGGAGGGCUUCCCAACCUACGGAGGACUUUGCACCAGCCAAAAGACAAACUUUUUUUCAUGAUAAGCCACCGAGACCUGGGGGGGUUUGUUCCCGCAGCUACCAUUACUUACGUUAUUAUAUCUGUUAAAUGACAGCUGUAUGUGACUGCUCUCUUCCAUUAGAACAUGAUCUGUUUGAGGUCAGUAGCUGAGUUCAUCUUAGAACUCCUGCACCAGCCCCUACAGGACCUGGGACAGGAAGUGUGUUUGUUAAAUGUGUGUUGAAUGAAUUACAAGCAGAUGAAUCAUUCCAUCCAAUGUUUCAACACCUCAAGUGAACACUUACUCGUAACCCGAGGAGUCUGGAAACUUCGAAAGCUGGAAAUUGAGCCUAGAAUCUUCUAUCUCCAAGCCAAGGGCUUUUUGCAUAUCAUUGUGGAUAGAUGACGGGAACUGUGAAUUAACUCCAACGUGUGACAGUUCAGCAGACAGGCAGUCUCCGUGGAGCUUUCUAGAACAAUUAUUCUGGAAAGUCAUUUCUGGGAAAGGGCCCAAGAAUUUACCCACAGCAGAGGAGAAAGACUUCAAACAUUGACUGCUUCUGUUGCCCUGGUCAUGAAACUCUGAAAACAACACAAGUCAGAAGCUUCCUAGGGGACAGAGGAGCAUCUGUCCUUUGAAAAACUUCAACAUUUCUGUUAAACAAUUUUUCUGGAAUUAACAAAGGGGAAAGUGAGCAGAAACAUUCUGAAAAUCCAGCAAUUAGGCUCAAAAAGUCAGUUCAGGGUGAGGAAACAAAUUUUGUGACAGCUUGUGUAAAUGCCUGAAUUAACUGAAACUCGGUAGUAAUAAAGAUAAAAUUUGCUUUGCUGUUGCCAAUGGGAUGAGACUACUGUGUGUCAGGUGCAGAAGUGGCCUUUAUAGGCAGGAUCCUUCCUUAUUCCUUAUAGCAAAGCGGUAACGUACCGAAUGCUGGUCCCAUUUUACAGGUGAAGAAAACGAGGUCAGAGUACUUAGGAAAUUUCCUAAAGAUCACAAAGGUAAUAAGUGGCGAACAUAGGAUUCAAACCGAGGCUUUUUGAAUUCCAAAGCCCACGCUCUAGGUUUUCAGAUGUGGCCAGUUUGAUUCUCUUAUUUGAAAGUCUCAGAAAUCCACUGUAAACUGGUUUAGACAAAGGGACUUUAUUGGUUCACAGAAUACAAAAAGGAUUGAAUGACAAUCCACCGGAAGGACAGGGAUAGCGCUGGGCUUCCGGGGCAACCGCAUCCAGAUGCCCGAAGGCUGCCGGCAGUCCCUCCCCCUCCAUUUCUCUGCUCCUCUCAGGGUCACCUUCAUUGUCUCUCUUACAUGGUGUUCUUCCCACACACGGCAGAAAACACGGCUGUCAACACAUCCCAAACCUCACAUCCGUCAGCUCCUACCCAGAGAGGAUCUGACUGACUUCAGCGCCAGUUUGAAAAAUCCGAGAGCAGAAAUCGGAUCGGACAGCUUGCGUCAAUACCUCCUCUGUACCCAUCCACUCUGGCCAUGGAGAUGGGUCAUCUAAGAACAAGGCAGCUUCUUGUUCGGAGGAAGAUAAAGUGGCUGAAAAAACCAAAAUGGUCCAAGGAAAUAUAAAAGCUUAGCUGGAAGCAGAGGAAAUACUCAGGGGGAUGUUCCUGUGAUCUGUAGACAUCUGAAGGACGGUCACGAGGAAGAGGAGGUGCUCUGAGUCACUAUGGGACUGAUGGGCACAAGUUUCCAGGAGACAGACGUCAGGUUCAGGUUCGGCAUUCGCUAAAUUUGUUACAACUGAUGAGCCUACACUGACACAUCGUUAUCACCCAACG
RNAcentral lists this long non-coding RNA (3104 nucleotides) under Equus caballus (horse). RNAcentral describes it as "lncRNA (ENSECAG00000046978.1)". Lineage: Eukaryota; Metazoa; Chordata; Mammalia; Perissodactyla; Equidae. The record is from RNAcentral.